UCAAGUUCAUUCACAGCCUCACGCUCUCACCUUCACUCUCUUCUGACUUCUUCCUCCCAUUUUGCCUCAAUUCCAACAUGGCAAUAUCCAGGAGGAGACUUUGUCGACUAAACAAUGUAAUUAAACAUAGUUUUCCAUAAAUCAUAUAUCCAUCUCGAUAUUUAUAUAUGCUAUAUGGAUUUUAUUUUUGGUCUUUAUAGAUUGUACGUUGUAAUAUUUUUGCUGGAACUUCCUUAAUUAGAUACAGACAAAAUUCAAGGUUGGGCCAUUUGGAUCAGAAACUGGAGGGGAAAUUUUUGAUGAUGGUAUUUACUCAACAGUGAGGCAGUUGGUGAUAAAUUAUAGAUCGUCCAAUGUUGAUUCCAUCAGGAUUGAAUAUGAUGACAAUGGGAGCUCAUUUUGGUCGGACCAACAUGGUUCCAGCCUGCUUUCUAGCAAAACAGACACGAUCAAGCUUGAUUAUCCGGACGAAUUUUUGACUUCAGUUCAUGGACAUUAUGAUAAGCUGUGGUACUUGCCGACCAAUGUUUGCUCCCUUACUUUCAAGAGCAACAAGAAGAGUCUUCCACUUAUAUGGAAAUUCGGGCAAUAGGUGCUCACCUAAAGCCUCUUGAUCAUCACGAGAAUGAAAAGUACCUCCAGUCAAAACCUCUCGAGCUUAAAGACUCUUCAGUGGUGGUACAAAAUGUGUCGACGCCUCUACUUCUAGAUGGAUAUCCUUCUCAGACUAUGCUGAUCAAGGAAGAUUACGACAAAGUUAACAAACCGAUAUCAUGCGUAAUUUCCAAUAACCAAGUUCAGGGAAACGAGGGCAACCACUGUGGAACUUACGCUGUUGGAAAUACAUAUA
Molecule: long non-coding RNA, 850 nt
Organism: Rosa rugosa (rugosa rose)
Lineage: Eukaryota; Viridiplantae; Streptophyta; Magnoliopsida; Rosales; Rosaceae
Exons: 3
Source: RefSeq, a predicted model, not a curated record